This 671-nucleotide ribosomal RNA is filed under the name uncultured archaeon. RNAcentral's name for it is "bacterial SSU rRNA". It matches the Rfam family "Archaeal small subunit ribosomal RNA", at positions 110 to 783 of the family's 1478-position model. The record is from RNAcentral.
UGCCCUACACUGGGGGAUAAACUCGGGAAACUGAGUAUCAUACCCCAUAGACCACUACGCCUGGAACGGUGAGUGGUUGAAAGCUCAGGCGGUGUAGGAUGGGUCUGCGGCGUAUCAGGUCGUAGGGGGUGUAAUGGACCUCCUAGCCAUCGGCGCAUACGGGUUGUGGGAGCAAUAGCCCGGAGACGGAUUCUGAGACACGAAUCCGGACCCUAUGGGGUGCAGCAGGCGCGAAAACUUCACACUGCAGGAAACUGUGAUGAGGGAACUCCAAGUGACUGCCCAAUGGGUAGCCUUUUCUUGAAUCUUAAUAGUUCUUGGAAUAAGGGCUGGGAAAGACCGGUGCCAGCCGCCGCGGUAAUACCGGCAGCUCAAGUGGUCGUCGCUUUUAUUGGGCCUAAAACGUCCGUAGCCUGUUUGGUAAAUCUGUGGGUAAAUCAACGAGCUUAACUCGUUGAAUUCUGCAGAGACUGCCAGACUAGGGACCGGGAGAGGUAUGAGGUACUCUGGGGGUAGGGGUAAAAUCCUGUCAUCCUCAGAGGACCACCUGUUGCGAAGGCGUCAUACUGGAACGGAUCCGACGGUCAGGGACGAAGCCUAGGGGCACGAACCGGAUUAGAUACCCGGGUAGUCCUAGGUGUAAACGCUGGUGGAUUUGGUGUGUGGGGUCC